Molecule: small RNA, 290 nt
Filed under: Marmota monax (woodchuck)
Lineage: Eukaryota; Metazoa; Chordata; Mammalia; Rodentia; Sciuridae
Source: RNAcentral
AAGAUAAUUCAUAUGUUAUUUGAGGAACAAUUUCAGGCUGGUCAUAUAGAAUCAACAGUUACUCCUUAGAACACCCCCCCCCAUUUUUGUUAUUAAGAAAAAGGUAAUUGGAGAUUACUACACGAUUUCAGGGCAAUAAACCAUGCAAUUCAGCCUAUGGGAUCAUUGCAGCCCAGACUCCCUUCCCCCACAGCAAUUCCUUUAAACUAUAGCUUAAUGGUAAUAGACGUAAAAGAUUGUUUUUUCUAAAUAAGGUCGCAUCCUGAGGAUUGUGAAAAAUUUGCUUUCAG